UACGGAGGAUGCGAGCGUUAUCCGGAUUUAUUGGGUUUAAAGGGUGCGCAGGCGGCGUGUCAAGCAAGCGGUAAAAUAGCGGGGCUCAACCCCGUCGAGCCGUUUGAACUGGCGCGCUUGAGUUCAGGCGAGGUAGGCGGAAUUCGUGGUGUAGCGGUGAAAUGCUUAGAGAUCAUACAGAACACCGAUUGCGAAGGCAGCUUACCAAACUAUAUCUGACGUUGAGGCACGAAAGCGUGGGUAGCAAACAGG
This 252-nucleotide ribosomal RNA is filed under the name uncultured Bacteroidales bacterium. RNAcentral's name for it is "partial 16S ribosomal RNA". It matches the Rfam family "Bacterial small subunit ribosomal RNA", at positions 524 to 776 of the family's 1533-position model. Lineage: Bacteria; Pseudomonadati; Bacteroidota; Bacteroidia; Bacteroidales. The record is from RNAcentral.